Molecule: ribosomal RNA, 515 nt
Filed under: Candida albicans
Lineage: Eukaryota; Fungi; Ascomycota; Pichiomycetes; Serinales; Debaryomycetaceae
Description: eukaryotic LSU rRNA
Rfam family: 5.8S ribosomal RNA (bases 148-301)
Source: RNAcentral
GUGGCUGCUGAGUUUGCAUUAUUGCACCACAUGUGUUUUUCUUUGAAACAAACUUGCUUUGGCGGUGGGCCCAGCCUGCCGCCAGAGGUCUAAACUUACAACCAAUUUUUUAUCAACUUGUCACACCAGAUUAUUACUAAUAGUCAAAACUUUCAACAACGGAUCUCUUGGUUCUCGCAUCGAUGAAGAACGCAGCGAAAUGCGAUACGUAAUAUGAAUUGCAGAUAUUCGUGAAUCAUCGAAUCUUUGAACGCACAUUGCGCCCUCUGGUAUUCCGGAGGGCAUGCCUGUUUGAGCGUCGUUUCUCCCUCAAACCGCUGGGUUUGGUGUUGAGCAAUACGACUUGGGUUUGCUUGAAAGACGGUAGUGGUAAGGCGGGAUCGCUUUGACAAUGGCUUAGGUCUAACCAAAAACAUUGCUUGCGGCGGUAACGUCUACCACGUAUAUCUUCAAACUUUGACCUCAAAUCAGGUAGGACUACCCGCUGAACUUAAGCAUAUCAAUAAGCGGAGGAA